CAAGGUUGGAGAGCUUAUCCUGGGAGCAGUUUGCCAAUGAGUUUGCAGGAUGGGCUUUUCCAGAUAGUUCCAGAGAACUGAAGAUGAUUGAGUUUGAGCAGCUAAGGCAGACGGAAGAGAUGAGCGUAGAGGAGUUUACAGACAGGUUCCUGGAGCUGUUGCCGUUUGCAGGACAAGGUCUUGACACAGACCUGAAGAAGUCUAGGAGAUAUGUUAUGAAGCUUCAC
Molecule: long non-coding RNA, 227 nt
Filed under: Manihot esculenta (cassava)
Lineage: Eukaryota; Viridiplantae; Streptophyta; Magnoliopsida; Malpighiales; Euphorbiaceae
Description: long non-coding RNA (MESC_LNC004659)
Source: RNAcentral